GGGGACCUUCGGGCCUUGCGCUAUCAGAUGAGCCUAGGUCGGAUUAGCUGGUUGGUGAGGUAAUGGCUCACCAAGGCGACAAUCCGUAACUGGUCUGAGAGGAUGAUCAGUCACACUGGAACUGAGACACGGUCCAGACUCCUACGGGAGGCAGCAGUGGGGAAUAUUGGACAAUGGGCGAAAGCCUGAUCCAGCCAUGCCGCGUGUGUGAAGAAGGUCUUCGGAUUGUAAAGCACUUUAAGUUGGGAGGAAGGGUUGUAGAUUAAUACUCUGCAAUUUUGACGUUACCGACAGAAUAAGCACCGGCUAACUCUGUGCCAGCAGCCGCGGUUUCGAUAG
RNAcentral lists this ribosomal RNA (339 nucleotides) under uncultured Pseudomonas sp. RNAcentral's name for it is "bacterial SSU rRNA". It matches the Rfam family "Bacterial small subunit ribosomal RNA", at positions 194 to 528 of the family's 1533-position model. The record is from RNAcentral. Lineage: Bacteria; Pseudomonadati; Pseudomonadota; Gammaproteobacteria; Pseudomonadales; Pseudomonadaceae.